AAGUCGUAACAAGGUCUCCGUAGGUGAACCUGCGGAGGGAUCAUUCACAUGAUUACCUUUUUAACAUUCUGUGAACUUUUUAUUUUACUAUUCGUGUAUAUCAAUCAAUUGAUUUUUAUUACACUGUCAUUCGAUGAACAUUAGAUAGUUGGCUUGAAUCUAUGUGAUUCAUUCUCAGCUGAUUGUAGUAAUACAAUCACCCAAAUAAUAUAGAAACAACUCUAUACCCUGGAUAUCUUGGUUCUC
RNAcentral lists this unclassified non-coding RNA (246 nucleotides) under fungal sp. Its description in RNAcentral is "partial internal transcribed spacer region". The stretch from base 1 to 46 matches the Rfam family "Eukaryotic small subunit ribosomal RNA", at positions 1786 to 1831 of the family's 1831-position model. The record is from RNAcentral. Lineage: Eukaryota; Fungi.